AACCCUCGCCUCUAGUUGCCAGCAUUCGGUUGGGCACUCUAGAGGGACUGCCGGCGACAAGUCGGAGGAAGUGGGGAUGACGUCAAAUCAUCAUGCCCCUUAUGACCUGGGCUACACACGUGCUACAAUGGGCGGUACAAAGGGCUGCGAACCCGCGAGGGGGAGCGAAUCCCAAAAAGCCGCUCUCAGUUCGGAUUGCAGGCCGCAACUCGCCUGCAUGAAGCCGGAAUCGCUAGUAAUCGCGGAUCAGCAUGCCGCGGUGAAUACGUUCCCGGGCCUU
This 280-nucleotide ribosomal RNA is filed under the name uncultured Geobacillus sp. RNAcentral describes it as "partial 16S ribosomal RNA". It matches the Rfam family "Bacterial small subunit ribosomal RNA", at positions 1100 to 1382 of the family's 1533-position model. The record is from RNAcentral. Lineage: Bacteria; Bacillati; Bacillota; Bacilli; Caryophanales; Anoxybacillaceae.